RNAcentral lists this ribosomal RNA (465 nucleotides) under Vreelandella stevensii. RNAcentral's name for it is "partial 16S ribosomal RNA". It matches the Rfam family "Bacterial small subunit ribosomal RNA", at positions 338 to 795 of the family's 1533-position model. The record is from RNAcentral. Lineage: Bacteria; Pseudomonadati; Pseudomonadota; Gammaproteobacteria; Oceanospirillales; Halomonadaceae.
CCUACGGGAGGCUGCAGUGGGGAAUAUUGGACAAUGGGGGCAACCCUGAUCCAGCCAUGCCGCGUGUGUGAAGAAGGCCCUCGGGUUGUAAAGCACUUUCAGUGAGGAAGAACGCCUGGUGGUUAAUACCCAUCAGGAAAGACAUCACUCACAGAAGAAGCACCGGCUAACUCCGUGCCAGCAGCCGCGGUAAUACGGAGGGUGCGAGCGUUAAUCGGAAUUACUGGGCGUAAAGCGCGCGUAGGUGGCUUGAUAAGCCGGUUGUGAAAGCCCCGGGCUCAACCUGGGAACGGCAUCCGGAACUGUCAAGCUAGAGUGCAGGAGAGGAAGGUAGAUUUCCCGGUGUAGCGGUGAAAUGCGUAGAGAUCGGGAGGAAUACCAGUGGCGAAGGCGGCCUUCUGGACUGACACUGACACUGAGGUGCGAAAGCGUGGGUAGCAAACAGGAUUAGAUACCCCAGUAGUC